UGGGGAAUAUUGCACAAUGGGCGCAAGCCUGAUGCAACCAUGCCGCGUGUAUGAAGAAGGCCUUCGGGUUGUAAAGUACUUUCAGUCGGGAGGAAGGUGGUAAGGUUAAUAACCUUGGCAAUUGACGUUACCGACAGAAGAAGCACCGGCUAACUCCGUGCCAGCAGCCGCGGUAAUACGGAGGGUGCAAGCGUUAAUCGGAAUUACUGGGCGUAAAGCGCACGCAGGCGGUUGAUUGAGUCAGAUGUGAAAUCCCCGGGCUUAACCCGGGAAUUGCAUCUGAUACUGGUCAGCUAGAGUCUUGUAGAGGGGGGUAGAAUUCCAUGUGUAGCGGUGAAAUGCGUAGAGAUGUGGAGGAAUACCGGUGGCGAAGGCGGCCCCCUGGACAAAGACUGACGCUCAGGUGCGAAAGCGUGGGGAGCAAACAGG
Molecule: ribosomal RNA, 429 nt
Filed under: Chloroflexota bacterium
Lineage: Bacteria; Bacillati; Chloroflexota
Description: Chloroflexi bacterium partial 16S ribosomal RNA
Rfam family: Bacterial small subunit ribosomal RNA
Source: RNAcentral